UAAUACGGAGGGGACAAGCGUUGUUCGGAAUUACUGGGCGUAAAGCGGGUGUAGGCGGCUAGACAAGUCGAGUGUGAAAUCCCAGGGCCCAACCCUGGAACUGCAUUCGAAACUGUCUAGCUAGAGUCCCGGAGAGGAUGGCGGAAUUCCCGGUGUAGGGGUGAAAUCCGUAGAUAUCGGGAGGAACACCAGUGGCGAAGGCGGCCAUCUGGACGGUGACUGACGCUCAGACCCGAAAGCGUGGGGAGCAAACAGGAUUAGAUACCCUGGUAGUCCACGCCGUAAACGUUGAGUGCUCGUCGUCGCGGGUAUUGACCCCUGCGGUGACCAAGCUAACGCGAGAAGCACUCCGCCUGGGGAGUACGGUCGCAAGACUA
This 377-nucleotide ribosomal RNA is filed under the name uncultured Alphaproteobacteria bacterium. RNAcentral describes it as "bacterial SSU rRNA". It matches the Rfam family "Bacterial small subunit ribosomal RNA", at positions 521 to 896 of the family's 1533-position model. Lineage: Bacteria; Pseudomonadati; Pseudomonadota; Alphaproteobacteria. The record is from RNAcentral.